CAGUCGAGCGGUAGAGAGAAGCUUGCUUCUCUUGAGAGCGGCGGACGGGUGAGUAAUGCCUAGGAAUCUGCCUGGUAGUGGGGGAUAACGUUCGGAAACGGACGCUAAUACCGCAUACGUCCUACGGGAGAAAGCAGGGGACCUUCGGGCCUUGCGCUAUCAGAUGAGCCUAGGUCGGAUUAGCUAGUUGGUGAGGUAAUGGCUCACCAAGGCGACGAUCCGUAACUGGUCUGAGAGGAUGAUCAGUCACACUGGAACUGAGACACGGUCCAGACUCCUACGGGAGGCAGCAGUGGGGAAUAUUGGACAAUGGGCGAAAGCCUGAUCCAGCCAUGCCGCGUGUGUGAAGAAGGUCUUCGGAUUGUAAAGCACUUUAAGUUGGGAGGAAGGGCAGUUACCUAAUACGUGAUUGUUUUGACGUUACCGACAGAAUAAGCACCGGCUAACUCUGUGCCAGCAGCCGCGGUAAUACA
RNAcentral lists this ribosomal RNA (473 nucleotides) under Pseudomonas sp. RNAcentral describes it as "bacterial SSU rRNA". It matches the Rfam family "Bacterial small subunit ribosomal RNA", at positions 59 to 527 of the family's 1533-position model. Lineage: Bacteria; Pseudomonadati; Pseudomonadota; Gammaproteobacteria; Pseudomonadales; Pseudomonadaceae. The record is from RNAcentral.